GCUGUGACACGUACCUGUAGUCCCAGCCAUUCAGGAGGCCAAGGUGGGAGGAUUGCUUGGGUCCAGGAGUUCUGGGCUGUAGUGCAUUAUGCCGACUGGGUGUCCACACUAAGUUCGGCAUCAAUAUGGUGCCCUCCCAGGAGCCGGGGACCACCAGGUUGCCUAAGGAGGGGUGAACCGGCCCAGGUCAGAAACGGAGCAGGUCAAAACUCCCGUGCUGAUCACACCUGUGAAUAGCCACUGCACUCCCACCUGGGCAACAUAGCGAGACCCUGUCAAUU
This is an unclassified non-coding RNA of Callithrix jacchus (white-tufted-ear marmoset), 281 nucleotides long. It matches the Rfam family "Metazoan signal recognition particle RNA". Rfam says of the family: The signal recognition particle (SRP) is a universally conserved ribonucleoprotein. It is involved in the co-translational targeting of proteins to membranes. The eukaryotic SRP consists of a 300-nucleotide 7S RNA and six proteins: SRPs 72, 68, 54, 19, 14, and 9. NCBI's taxonomy places the organism in Eukaryota, Metazoa, Chordata, Mammalia, Primates, Cebidae. The record is from Ensembl.